This 253-nucleotide ribosomal RNA is filed under the name uncultured bacterium. Its description in RNAcentral is "partial 16S ribosomal RNA". It matches the Rfam family "Bacterial small subunit ribosomal RNA", at positions 524 to 776 of the family's 1533-position model. The record is from RNAcentral.
AACGUAGGAGGCGAGCGUUAUCCGGAUUUACUGGGCGUAAAGCGCACGCAGGCGGCUUGGUGAGUCGGACGUGAAAGCUCCUGGCUUAACUGGGAGAGGCCGUUCGAUACUGCCGGGCUUGAGGUUGGGAGAGGGGUGCGGAAUUCCCGGUGUAGUGGUGGAAUGCGUAGAUAUCGGGAGGAACACCAGUGGCGAAAGCGGCGCCCUGGCCCACACCUGACGCUGAUGUGCGAAAGCGUGGGGAGCAAACAGG